GGAUCUUGAAAUCCACUUGUCACAUAUCCAUGCAAGGCGCCAUAAAUUGAUUUUUAAUAUGAUUAAUAAUUAAUUUAAUUUAUUUAAUGGUGCUAUGGGACACUUGGCAACAUCAGGGACCUCUUUCAUCAUUAGAUGGGUCGAAAUGGAGAGAUAAAUUCAUAAAAAGAAUUGGAUAAGAUCAAAUUCUCUCUCUUCAUGACAUAUGUCAUCCUUAUCUUUAUCUCACUUCUAAUUAAGGUUGAAUUUCGAAUUUAAUCACCACAAAAUCAUCACGUGACCCUCUAAUCUGAUUGGGGGCAUGGGAAUUUCGAAAUUGAAAGAGGGAAGUGGCAACAUGAUGAAUGGUUUAGAUUAGAUCAAGCUUCAUCAUGUAAUGGCACAUGAACUUGAAUUUUGAAUUCAAAAUUCAAAAUCCCACAAAAUCCUCCACAAAUAUGGGAUGGUUGGCAUGAAGUUAGGUGGGAGAGCAACAUUAAAAGGACCUCCAUCAGCUGGUGGUCGAAUUCAAGAAAAAAGAGAGAAAAAGAAGAAGAAAAAAGGGAAAAGGAAAAGAGAGGAACCCUAGUUCAUGCGUGGAAAAAUUCUGCAUUCAAUCUAGCCGAUUUCUUCCUCCUCUAAGUCCAUCGUGCCAUUAGUGUUAGGGGUCCCUGAUAAGAGUCUUUAGAUCAGAUCUAAGUCCUCUUCAAUCCCUUUAAACCUUUCCUCCAAGUUCUUCCAAGAAGGCGGAUCAAAAAUUGAUAGCGUUGGGAAGAUCAAAUUUCAGCCUCAAGAAAUUCUGCGCAAGCUAGCACUUCCGCAGGAUUGGAUCUCUUCAGGAACUUCGCGUGGACUUCUCGUAGAGGCCAUUCGUGUGCGUGGCUGCGAAGUCGAGGAUCAGAUCCACAAGCUUCAUCCAUCAUAAAAGGU
Molecule: long non-coding RNA, 909 nt
Filed under: Phoenix dactylifera (date palm)
Lineage: Eukaryota; Viridiplantae; Streptophyta; Magnoliopsida; Arecales; Arecaceae
Description: long non-coding RNA (PDAC_LNC012322)
Source: RNAcentral